RNAcentral lists this ribosomal RNA (332 nucleotides) under uncultured Methylobacterium sp. RNAcentral describes it as "bacterial SSU rRNA". It matches the Rfam family "Bacterial small subunit ribosomal RNA", at positions 1 to 359 of the family's 1533-position model. Lineage: Bacteria; Pseudomonadati; Pseudomonadota; Alphaproteobacteria; Hyphomicrobiales; Methylobacteriaceae. The record is from RNAcentral.
UUCGCCCUUAGAGUUUGAUCCUGGCUCAGAGCGAACGCUGGCGGCAGGCUUAACACAUGCAAGUCGAACGCAUCCUUCGGGAUGAGUGGCAGACGGGUGAGUAACACGUGGGAACGUGCCCUCCGGUCUGGGAUAACCCUGGGAAACUAGGGCUAAUACCGGAUACGUGCUUUGGCAGAAAGGUUUACUGCCGGAGGAUCGGCCCGCGUCUGAUUAGCUAGUUGGUGGGGUAACGGCCUACCAAGGCGACGAUCAGUAGCUGGUCUGAGAGGAUGAUCAGCCACACUGGGACUGAGACACGGCCCAGACUCCUACGGGAGGCAGCAGAGGGG